Non-coding RNA from Pelobates cultripes (western spadefoot toad), 807 nucleotides. NCBI's taxonomy places the organism in Eukaryota, Metazoa, Chordata, Amphibia, Anura, Pelobatidae. The record is from the annotation of a GenBank genome assembly.
GUUUGGUACAGACUGUGAGAUAUUUUCCUGCUCGGCUGUCUCAUGGCUUAGGUAUAGGCCUAUUAUGUAAAGUUAAGGUAGGUGACGCCAGUGAGAUUGCGCUGCUGUGCCAGUCUCUGGUGAGGCGCUUACAAAUAUAGUUGCCUGUAGCCAGAGAGUAAAUAAUAAAUCAAUAUGAUAAGAUAAUUGGCUAUGCACAGGCUAAACGUGCUGAGUGUAACUACUAACAGGCAGGAAAAGUUUGUUAAGUUAGCGCGUUGAGUCACAUUAGACCAUGACAUGUGGGGCUGCUAAGCAAGGUUAGACUUUGCAUAUGUGACUAGGGUGGGAUAUAAUAAUUUGUUCUGUUGCCCUGGAGCAAGAGCCAAACUACACAAAACUUAUAGAACCAAUGCCACUGGGUAGGGCAGUGAAAAAAAAAAAAAAAAUACACCUUUGAGGUGGUAAAGUCAAAUGUUCUGGGUUUAACGCAAGUCAGAAUAGGCUAGCGCCCAUGUGAGUCCCGGUCGGUGUCUGCACAUGUUCAGGUGGUUGCGGCCGCAUAGGAAUCCGAGGUGCUCCGUCGGGGAACAAAAGGGGGGAUGUUUGCAGGGUCCCAGGAGUUAGAGGGCGUUUCAGAUUGAAUGUCCCGGGUAAGUGCGUCCAGUGGUAGCCCCAGAGCUGGUAGUAUUUCAGCAGCCUCUUGGAGGUUGUGGAUGGCGUGUGGAGUGGCACCGUGAUGCACCAGCAGUGUGCGGGAGAGCUUCCACUGGUAGCGGAUGUUGUUCUGUUGUAGGAGUGCAGUGAAUGGCCGGAGUGUUUUCCUCC